This 64-nucleotide transfer RNA is filed under the name Phalantus geniculatus. RNAcentral describes it as "tRNA-Arg". The record is from RNAcentral. Lineage: Eukaryota; Metazoa; Arthropoda; Insecta; Hemiptera; Reduviidae.
AGUAGUGAAGUAAAAUUUACACUUAGUUUCGACCUAAGAUUAGGGAAUUAUCUGCCCCUUACUU